AGAUGACCCACGGGAGAGUGCAUGAUUUGUCAUGCCGCCGAAGGCGCAACCGCCCCGGAAACGCUCAGGCCAAAGGACCGUGGAUCAUUU
Molecule: non-coding RNA, 90 nt
Filed under: Asticcacaulis excentricus
Lineage: Bacteria; Pseudomonadati; Pseudomonadota; Alphaproteobacteria; Caulobacterales; Caulobacteraceae
Also listed under: 1 other name
Description: Glycine sequence
Rfam family: Glycine riboswitch aptamer
About the family: This family represents the bacterial glycine riboswitch. Glycine riboswitches usually consist of two metabolite-binding aptamers domains with similar structures in tandem.
Source: RNAcentral